AAAUCUGUGGUCUGUGAUGUAUUUUUGUGUCUGAUUAAUACAUGAGGAAUAUCACAGUAUUCGUCACUACCACUGAGACCACAUUGUU
Small nucleolar RNA from Solea senegalensis (Senegalese sole), 88 nucleotides. RefSeq annotates it as small nucleolar RNA SNORD70. The transcript has a single exon. NCBI's taxonomy places the organism in Eukaryota, Metazoa, Chordata, Actinopteri, Pleuronectiformes, Soleidae. The record is from RefSeq and is a predicted model, not a curated record.